This 254-nucleotide ribosomal RNA is filed under the name uncultured bacterium. RNAcentral's name for it is "partial 16S ribosomal RNA". It matches the Rfam family "Bacterial small subunit ribosomal RNA", at positions 524 to 776 of the family's 1533-position model. The record is from RNAcentral.
GACGUAGGGCGCGAGCGUUGUCCGGAUUUAUUGGGCGUAAAGAGCUCGUAGGCGGCUUGUUGCGUCGGCUGUGAAAACCCGCGGCUUAACCGUGGGCUUGCAGCUGAUACGGGCAGGCUAGAGUUCGGUAGGGGAGACUGGAAUUCCUGGUGUAGCGGUGAAAUGCGCAGAUAUCAGGAGGAACACCGAUGGCGAAGGCAGGUCUCUGGGCCACUACUGACGCUGAGAAGCGAAAGCAUGGGGGAGCGAACAGG